UUAAACUUUUGUUCCUUUAUUUAAUAGCCAGUGUCUCCAUUUGCCAAUUCUGUGAAAUCUGAUAUUUUCUCUAUUUAAAUAUAAAACUUUUGGCAGUACCUCUUGAUAACUUGAUAUCUACUAGCUUCGAAUAUUUUAAGCCAUGUUUCUUCCAUUCUUUUGGCAGCUUUUUCUUUUCUUUUUAUUAAUAAUUUCAGGAUGAGAGUGGUUGUAUGGCAGUGGCUGUAAGCAUGAAAUCACCUGGCCUUGUGCGGAAGACAUCUAUGAAUCGACCAACCAGAUGCAUACCUCUAAUUUAAACUCCUGAAAAUCCCCAUGGUUGUGGGUGGUGCAGACAGAAUGUGAGCCAGGAAGUACCUCUGUAAAAGCCCAGACAUUCCGUAUGUAGGAGUAUCUUCAUUCUUCAAGUGCAUCUAGGCUAAGAAGUUAACUUGGAUCUGUUUCACAGCGAGUCAUUGAUGAUCAACUAAGUAGUAGGAUACAGUUUUCUGAUCAGAUGAAAUCGCUUUAUCUUAUCUGGCUGGAAUUUAAAGAGCUGGGACUACCAUCAGGAAAAUCUACCGUGUAAUAACACUAACCCAGAACACUGCUGCUGAGUCUACCACACAGUAAAGCCGACUAGGAAAUGGCUAUUGAGUCUACCACACAGUAACACGAACCCAGAGCAUUGCUACUGUGUCUUCUAUACAGUAACACUAAUUCAGAACAUUGCUACUGACUCUACCACACAGUAAUGUGCACAAGGACAUUGCUGUUAUGAGUUUUCAUGCAGUAACACUGACUUUGAGUAAAAACACAUAGUAACACUCUUGAUACUGAAGGCUGGACUCUGCUGAACACUGGGAAAAAAGUGGAGAUAAACAUGCAACUCACUGUGUGUGACAUAGUGCAAAAAACUUUUGAAUGUGACCGUGAUAUAUAGACAUUAAAAUUAAUUUAAGUAACAUUCAAGUAAUGGUCAAAGGUGGUAGUGAAAACUCACUGAAUGUGAUGACUGUGAAAGAAAGACAGUUAUACCUACUAGUAAAAAUCUAUAAGAUUAGAUAUUAAAAUAAUGUUUAAAAGUGACAGUAGGUACAGUAAAAUGUGAAUAAUAUGUGAUUUGAUUGAUAAUGUCAAAUGAUAAAGGGUAACUCAUUGU
This is a long non-coding RNA of Mercenaria mercenaria, 1141 nucleotides long. RefSeq lists it as uncharacterized. The transcript is spliced from 3 exons. Lineage: Eukaryota; Metazoa; Mollusca; Bivalvia; Venerida; Veneridae. The record is from RefSeq and is a predicted model, not a curated record.